GAAUUUUGGACAAUGGGCGAAAGCCUGAUCCAGCAAUGCCGCGUGCAGGAUGAAGGCCUUCGGGUUGUAAACUGCUUUUGUACGGAAAGAAAAGCUUUGGGUUAAUACCCUGGAGUCAUCACGGUACCGUAAGAAUCAGCACCGGCUAACUACGUGCCAGCAGCCGCGGUAAUAAGUAGGGUGCAAGCGUUAAUCGGAAUGACUGGGCGUAAAGCGUGCGCAGGCGGUUUUGUAAGACAGAGGUGAAAUCCCCGGGCUCAACCUGGGAACUGCCUUUGUGACUCCAACGCUCUCGUCCGCCAGAGGGGGGUGUAAUUCCGCGUGUAGCAGUGAAAUGCGUAGAUAUGCGGAGGAACACCGAUGGCGAAGGCAACCCCCUGGGCCUGUACUGACGCUCAUGCACGAAAGCGUGGGGAGCAAACA
This 423-nucleotide ribosomal RNA is filed under the name uncultured bacterium. RNAcentral's name for it is "partial 16S ribosomal RNA". It matches the Rfam family "Bacterial small subunit ribosomal RNA", at positions 359 to 774 of the family's 1533-position model. The record is from RNAcentral.